This 557-nucleotide ribosomal RNA is filed under the name uncultured Methylobacterium sp. Its description in RNAcentral is "bacterial SSU rRNA". It matches the Rfam family "Bacterial small subunit ribosomal RNA", at positions 102 to 694 of the family's 1533-position model. Lineage: Bacteria; Pseudomonadati; Pseudomonadota; Alphaproteobacteria; Hyphomicrobiales; Methylobacteriaceae. The record is from RNAcentral.
ACGGGUGAGUAACACGUGGGAACGUGCCCUUCGGUUCGGAAUAACUCAGGGAAACUUGAGCUAAUACCGGAUGCGCCCUUAUGGGGAAAGGUUUACUGCCGAAGGAUCGGCCCGCGUCUGAUUAGCUUGUUGGUGGGGUAACGGCCUACCAAGGCGACGAUCAGUAGCUGGUCUGAGAGGAUGAUCAGCCACACUGGGACUGAGACACGGCCCAGACUCCUACGGGAGGCAGCAGUGGGGAAUAUUGGACAAUGGGCGCAAGCCUGAUCCAGCCAUGCCGCGUGAGUGAUGAAGGCCUUAGGGUUGUAAAGCUCUUUUGUCCGGGACGAUAAUGACGGUACCGGAAGAAUAAGCCCCGGCUAACUUCGUGCCAGCAGCCGCGGUAAUACGAAGGGGGCUAGCGUUGCUCGGAAUCACUGGGCGUAAAGGGCGCGUAUGCGGCCGAUUAAGUCGGGGGUGAAAGCCUGUGGCUCAACCGCAGAAUUGCCUUCGAUACUGGUUGGCUUGAGACCGGAAGAGGACAGCGGAACUGCGAGUGUAGAGGUGAAAUUCGUAGA